Molecule: long non-coding RNA, 2167 nt
Organism: Antechinus flavipes (yellow-footed antechinus)
Lineage: Eukaryota; Metazoa; Chordata; Mammalia; Dasyuromorphia; Dasyuridae
Exons: 2
Source: RefSeq, a predicted model, not a curated record
UUUCCCCUGAAACAGAGAAUAGACAAAGUUAUCAAUUGCCUUCCAGAAAUUUCCAGCUUGAUGGUGAAAUAAAGGUUCAUGUCCCUUUACAAUUCACAACCAACCCAAGCAAUUUGUUCUGAUUCUUUUUUGCAGGUUGCAAAUUAGGAUGAGGGGGUGGAGUCUAUUGGCAUAAGCGGUCUCCCUAGAGCAUAAGAAAACAGAAAUCAUAGCUUUGGGCUCAGACUAUAGCAACAGAAGCAAUAGCAAUAGAAUCUAGUAAAGUCUCAUAAAAAUAUGAAUAUAUAAUAUAUAUAUUUAAAAUGUUAUAUAUAUAUACUUUAAUGUGUGUUAUACAUAUAUAAAACAAGAAGCAUAUUCAUGAAAUAUACAUUGUUCAUAUUCUUGCACCCUUUCCACACAUAUCUCAACUCCAGACACUCAAGAAAAUAAAAACAUUUGCAGAAAGCUGGAGAUCCCCUCCCUUAAGAACACCAGUGAAUGAAACCACACUUUCAAAUCCACAAUAGGAAAAUAAACAUAUAUACCACAUUCAAAUUCAAAUAGAGCUACAGGAUUAUAAGGAAAUGGUCUUUUUUUGUCUCAAAUUGUGUCCUUCCUCUUGCCUUAUCCCCUAAUUUCACUAGUGAAAGGAAAUCUAAGAGGAUAUUGAUGGGGAAGGGAAGAAAUAAAACAAUUUCUCUUCUUUAAAAAGAAAAAAAAAAAGCACCUGUAAAACAUAUAAUUUCACCACUGAGUUUUUAUAAGCCUAACUGGGCCAUCACUGCACUGCUGGUUUCUACCAUCUACCAGCUUUCUUCACAACUUGCAGUGGGAUACAGAGCAUGACACAACCAAAUGGCAACAAAUACCAAUAUUAUAAAGAAAGCAGUAGCUGUAUAGAACCUCAUCCAAUUAUCUUAAGGCGACGUGCCAGUGAAAAGUAUAUAAGCAGAUCUAAUUUAAUAGCUUUCUAUAUUGCCUCAAAGUUAAAAGACACAGAAAAUAUUUGUCAGGUUUGGGUAUUCUCAUUAUUCCAGAACACAAUUUUGUAGCUUCUUCUAUGAAUUAUAUAUAAGAUUUCACUGAAGAAAAAAUUUAUUCUGAAAGUGCAAAGACUCCUUAAUACUAGAAAAUGAGAAAAACAGUCACACCUUUGUGUUAAAAAAAAAAGGUAGAAUCUAUAAUAACUUAAAUUUUUCUUUUUGUCCAUACUUCUUAGAAAAGUGUCUAAAUCUAUACCUGGAAAAGUGAUUUUAAAAAAGAUCUGAAAUAUUGAACACAUACUUCCCAAUAAUCUUUUCCCAACAAGUUUCAGAUAUUUAGAGAAGGCUGAAAGUGUUAGCUGAAGUGGGGCCAGGAUCUCUGAGAUGGAAGUUCAACUACUUUCAAUGAUAGAAAGCCACUAUUGUGUCUGGGCCUUACUUCUUUAAAAAUCUCCAGCCCACAAUCGCCUUUUUCAGUAUUGAAAUAUCUGAAUAUCUUGUCUUAAUCAAAUUAAGAGGUUUUCUAUUUUUAAUGAAGUUUUGAUUUAUUAUUGUUGUUUUUAAGGUCGAAAAAUGUUCACAUUACUCAGUGCUCAAGGAAACAUAAAUAUGUUCAGAGAUUCAGAAAAUAAAUUACUGUACCUGAAAAUAUUAACAAAUGCAUUGAUUCUGAGGCAUACACCACCCUCUCCUGUGAUUCCCAAGUACAACCGAGAACUCCACAGAAGCUUUCUCGACUGAAGCGAUACGGAUAUCGAGCCCAUUCAUCUUUCAACAGAAGUCUGUUAUAAACAACUCCCGCAGCCAGUCAGGUUCUGAAACUGGUCUUUUUUGAAGAGAACCGUGAAUUACUUGCUUUAGAAGAACGGAGAAAAACCCUAAGUCGAUAAGGAAGAACUUCUCGAGGGAGCCCAAAUCAUCUCUAAAAAAGGAAGAAGAUGUGGAGGAGGGGUAAAAGUGGAGUGGGGGAGUGAAAAACAGCAAACACCGGAUAAAUAGAGGUAGCUCCCCGGAGAAAGCGGCUGCAGGCAAAGAACACACAAAGCCAUUGCUAAACGUACCAAAGAUGACAAAUAAAAGCCCUAAGUGAGAGAGUUUGAAUUUGAAAUGGCUGGUUUCCCCACUCACAGUGUGUGUUAGGGUUGUUACCCAGGGGGAAGUACAACUGCAGGUCCAGGCAAUUAAAAGUAUUUACAUGCAAA